AAAUUGAAGAGUUUGAUCAUGGCUCAGAUUGAACGCUGGCGGCAGGCCUAACACAUGCAAGUCGAACGGUAACAGGAAGCAGCUUGCUGCUUUGCUGACGAGUGGCGGACGGGUGAGUAAU
RNAcentral lists this ribosomal RNA (121 nucleotides) under Escherichia coli. RNAcentral describes it as "partial 16S ribosomal RNA". It matches the Rfam family "Bacterial small subunit ribosomal RNA", at positions 1 to 114 of the family's 1533-position model. The record is from RNAcentral. Lineage: Bacteria; Pseudomonadati; Pseudomonadota; Gammaproteobacteria; Enterobacterales; Enterobacteriaceae. RNAcentral also lists the same sequence under 17 other names.